RNAcentral lists this transfer RNA (76 nucleotides) under bacterium. Its description in RNAcentral is "tRNA-Ala". It matches the Rfam family "tRNA". From Rfam's summary of the family: Transfer RNA (tRNA) molecules are approximately 80 nucleotides in length. Their secondary structure includes four short double-helical elements and three loops (D, anti-codon, and T loops). The record is from RNAcentral.
GGGGGUGUAGCUCAACCGGGAGAGUGCCUGCCUUGCACGCAGGAGGUCAGCGGUUCGAUCCCGCUCACCUCCACCA